RNAcentral lists this long non-coding RNA (456 nucleotides) under Hordeum vulgare. RNAcentral describes it as "long non-coding RNA (HVUL_LNC017842)". Lineage: Eukaryota; Viridiplantae; Streptophyta; Magnoliopsida; Poales; Poaceae. The record is from RNAcentral.
CCUCUGUAUUCUUGAUUCAUUAAGUUGAUAAUAACUGCACAACUUGGACAUAUCAUGUAUGGCUCGAGCUCCAUAGGCAGUGACUACCUGGCUAGAUAAGCCAUGAAUGGUUUAUUGUUUUUUUAGCUGUACAGUAGGACAAAGCCCUGCUGCAACUUUUCUUUAUUUAUUUUGGCUUUGUAUUGGAAUGAACCAUUUAAAUAUUGCAAUUGCAUCCCCAAUCCCCUUUUUUCCUCUUGAAUCUACUAUGUUUUUCCUGAAUCUUUAAUUUGAUCUCCCUCUUUGUCAAAGUCAUCCCUCAUGAUUGUUGCAUGCACCUAUGAUUGAUUUUGUCUCUGCAUACAGUCUUUAGGUUGGUGAUCUUCUGACCCUCCUUAGUGCCUUUUGUUUUGGAAUUCACAUGCUCAGAAUCGAGCAUAUUUCCAGGAAAAUGAAGAAAGAAAAUUUCCUAGCCCU